CGCGUAGGCGGUAGGACAAGUGAGAUGUGAAAUCCCUGGGCUUAACCUAGGAAUGGCAUUUUAGACUGUAAUACUAGAGGUCAGUAGAGGGUAGUGGAAUUUCCGGUGUAGCGGUGAAAUGCGUAGAGAUCGGAAGGAACACCAGUGGCGAAGGCGACUACCUGGACUGAAUCUGACGCUGAGGCGCGAAAGCGUGGGGAGCAAACA
This 207-nucleotide ribosomal RNA is filed under the name uncultured bacterium. RNAcentral's name for it is "partial 16S ribosomal RNA". It matches the Rfam family "Bacterial small subunit ribosomal RNA", at positions 568 to 774 of the family's 1533-position model. The record is from RNAcentral.